Molecule: ribosomal RNA, 30 nt
Filed under: Euryops brachypodus
Lineage: Eukaryota; Viridiplantae; Streptophyta; Magnoliopsida; Asterales; Asteraceae
Description: partial 26S ribosomal RNA
Source: RNAcentral
CCCCAGGUCAAGCGGGACUACCCGCUGANU